GACGAACCGUGCGAACGUUGUUCGGAUUCACUGGGCUUAAAGGGCGCGUAGGCGGCAGGUCAAGUCCGGGGUGAAAUCCUUCAGCUCAACUGGAGAAGUGCCUUGGAUACUGGUCUGCUCGAGGGAGGUAGGGGCAUGUGGAACUUCCGGUGGAGCGGUGAAAUGCGUAGAUAUCGGAAGGAACGCCGGUGGCGAAAGCGACGUGCUGGACCUCUUCUGACGCUGAGGCGCGAAAGCUAGGGGAGCAAACGGG
This 253-nucleotide ribosomal RNA is filed under the name uncultured bacterium. Its description in RNAcentral is "partial 16S ribosomal RNA". It matches the Rfam family "Bacterial small subunit ribosomal RNA", at positions 524 to 776 of the family's 1533-position model. The record is from RNAcentral.